This 78-nucleotide transfer RNA is filed under the name Desulfobacterales bacterium. RNAcentral describes it as "tRNA-Val". It matches the Rfam family "tRNA". From Rfam's summary of the family: Transfer RNA (tRNA) molecules are approximately 80 nucleotides in length. Their secondary structure includes four short double-helical elements and three loops (D, anti-codon, and T loops). Further hydrogen bonds mediate the characteristic L-shaped molecular structure. tRNAs have two regions of fundamental functional importance: the anti-codon, which is responsible for specific mRNA codon recognition, and the 3' end, to which the tRNAs corresponding amino acid is attached (by aminoacyl-tRNA synthetases). tRNAs cope with the degeneracy of the genetic code in two manners: having more than one tRNA (with a specific anti-codon) for a particular amino acid; and 'wobble' base-pairing, i.e. permitting non-standard base-pairing at the 3rd anti-codon position. Lineage: Bacteria; Pseudomonadati; Thermodesulfobacteriota; Desulfobacteria; Desulfobacterales. The record is from RNAcentral.
AGGCACGUAGCUCAGGGGGAGAGCNNCGCUACCCUGACACGGUAGAGGUCAAGGGUUCAAAUCCCUUCGUGCCUACCA